Molecule: ribosomal RNA, 460 nt
Filed under: uncultured bacterium
Lineage: Bacteria
Description: partial 16S ribosomal RNA
Rfam family: Bacterial small subunit ribosomal RNA
Source: RNAcentral
CCUACGGGAGACAGCAGUGAGGAAUAUUGGUCAAUGGACGCAAGUCUGAACCAGCCAUGCCGCGUGCAGGAAGACGGCUCUAUGAGUUGUAAACUGCUUUUGUACGAGGGUAAAUCCCGAUACGUGUAUCGGGUUGAAAGUAUCGUACGAAUAAGGAUCGGCUAACUCCGUGCCAGCAGCCGCGGUAAUACGGAGGAUUCAAGCGUUAUCCGGAUUUAUUGGGUUUAAAGGGUGCGUAGGCGGUUCGAUAAGUUAGAGGUGAAAUCCCGGGGCUCAACUCCGGCACUGCCUCUGAUACUGUCGGGCUAGAGUUUAGUUGCGGUAGGCGGAAUGUAUGGUGUAGCGGUGAAAUGCAUAGAGAUCGUACAGAACACCGAUGGCGAAGGCAGCUUACCAAACUACGACUGACGUUGAGGCACGAAGGCGUGGGGAGCGAACAGGAUUAGAUACCCUUGUAGUC